CGUGAACCUUUACUAUAGCUUGACACUGAACAUUGAGCCUUGAUGUGUAGGAUAGGUGGGAGGCUUUGAAGUGUGGACGCCAGUCUGCAUGGAGCCGACUUGAAUACCACCCUUUAAUGUUUGAUGUUCUAACGUUGGCCCGUUAUCCGGGUUGCGGACAGUGUCUGGUGGGUAGUUUGACUGGGGCGGUCUCCUCCUAAAGAGUAACGGAGGAGCACGAAGGUUGGCUAAUCCUGGUCGGAC
RNAcentral lists this ribosomal RNA (243 nucleotides) under Escherichia coli. RNAcentral's name for it is "partial 23S ribosomal RNA". It matches the Rfam family "Bacterial large subunit ribosomal RNA", at positions 2092 to 2336 of the family's 2925-position model. The record is from RNAcentral. Lineage: Bacteria; Pseudomonadati; Pseudomonadota; Gammaproteobacteria; Enterobacterales; Enterobacteriaceae.